Molecule: ribosomal RNA, 253 nt
Filed under: uncultured bacterium
Lineage: Bacteria
Description: partial 16S ribosomal RNA
Rfam family: Bacterial small subunit ribosomal RNA
Source: RNAcentral
UACGGAGGGUGCGAGCGUUAUCCGGAAUUACUGGGUUUAAAGGGUGCGUAGGCGGCCCUGUAAGUCCGCUGUGAAAGUCAAGGGCUCAACCCUUGGAUGCCGGUGGAUACUGCAGGGCUAGAGUCCGGAAGAGGCGAGUGGAAUUCCUGGUGUAGCGGUGAAAUGCGCAGAUAUCAGGAGGAACACCGAUGGCGAAGGCAGCUCGCUGGGACGGUACUGACGCUGAGGCGCGAAAGCGUGGGGAGCAAACAGG